GACGAACGCUGGCGGCGUGCUUAACACAUGCAAGUCGAACGAUGAACCCGGAGCUUGCUCCGGUGGAUUAGUGGCGAACGGGUGAGUAACACGUGAGUAACCUGCCCUUGACUCUGGGAUAACUGCGGGAAACUGUAGCUAAUACCGGAUACGACCCUCGGCGGCAUCGCCAUGGGGUGGAAAGAAUUUCGGUCAGGGAUGGACUCGCGGCCUAUCAGCUAGUUGGUGAGGUAACGGCUCACCAAGGCGACGACGGGUAGCCGGCCUGAGAGGUGGACCGGCAACACUGGGACUGAGACACGGCCAAGAAUCCUACGGGAGGCAGCAGUGGGGAAUAAUGCACAAUGGGGGCAAGCCUGAUGCAGCAACGCCGCGUGAGUGAUGACGGCCUUCGGGUUGUAAACCUCUUUUAGUAGGGAAGACGCGAAAGUGACGGUACCUGCAGAAAAAGCACCGGCUAACUACGUGCCAGCCGCCGCCGUAA
Molecule: ribosomal RNA, 484 nt
Filed under: uncultured bacterium
Lineage: Bacteria
Description: partial 16S ribosomal RNA
Rfam family: Bacterial small subunit ribosomal RNA
Source: RNAcentral